This 72-nucleotide transfer RNA is filed under the name Camelus bactrianus (Bactrian camel). It matches the Rfam family "tRNA". Rfam says of the family: Transfer RNA (tRNA) molecules are approximately 80 nucleotides in length. The record is from Rfam by way of RNAcentral. RNAcentral also lists the same sequence under 1 other name. Lineage: Eukaryota; Metazoa; Chordata; Mammalia; Artiodactyla; Camelidae.
GAGGGUAUAGCUCAGUGGUAGAACAUGUGCUUCGCAUGCACAAGGUCCUGGGUUCAAUCCCCAGUACUUCUG